RNAcentral lists this unclassified non-coding RNA (343 nucleotides) under soil metagenome. RNAcentral's name for it is "partial contains 5.8S ribosomal RNA, internal transcribed spacer 2, and large subunit ribosomal RNA". The stretch from base 1 to 120 matches the Rfam family "5.8S ribosomal RNA", at positions 35 to 154 of the family's 154-position model. The record is from RNAcentral.
GAUGAAGAACGUAGCGAAAUGCGAUAAGUAAUGUGAAUUGCAGAAUUCAGUGAAUCAUCGAAUCUUUGAACGCACAUUGCGCCCGCCAGCAUUCUGGCGGGCAUGCCUGUUCGAGCGUCAUUUCAACCCUCGAGCCCCCUCGGGGGCCUCGGUGUUGGGGGACGGCACACCAGCCGCCCCCGAAAUGCAGUGGCGACCCCGCCGCAGCCUCCCCUGCGUAGUAGCACACACCUCGCACCGGAGCGUGGAGGCGGUCACGCCGUAAAACGCCCAACUUUCUUAGAGUUGACCUCGGAUCAGGUAGGAAUACCCGCUGAACUUAAGCAUAUCAAUAAGCGGAGGA